This 612-nucleotide long non-coding RNA is filed under the name Citrus x clementina. Its description in RNAcentral is "Citrus clementina (C. clementina) long non-coding RNA (CCLE_LNC002292)". Lineage: Eukaryota; Viridiplantae; Streptophyta; Magnoliopsida; Sapindales; Rutaceae. The record is from RNAcentral.
UAAUCAACACAAUAGCACACAUACAUUAAUUUUAUUUAUUAAUUUCUUCUUUUAGGAAGAUAAAGAGUACAUGAAAAGGAGCAAAGAAAAUUCUUUAUAUCUCUCAAAAAAUCUUAUUGGUUGCAAUUAAACUAAAUUGAUACUCACACAAUUGAUAGGUCAUCAUAUACCUAUCUUUUUAUUUAAUUUUAAAAAAAUAUUUCAUGCACUUUAACCGAUGUAGUCGGGCUUUCUUCCGUGUUGAGGAACAACAAAAAAAUCAAGAUUAUCAUUUGUAGCAUCAUCAUCAGCAAUACUCGAACGUACAUCUAAUAUGUGCCCCUCUGACCAAUUCCUCUUGUCUGAAAAAUUCAUAUUGAAAAACUUAAUCAUAAAUGCAUAAGUUAAAACAAGAAUUAUAAACAAUAUUUAACUGAAGUUGGCCAAAAUACCCGCGCAGGGAGUCUCCAUAUUCUUCAAAUUAAUCAGAAAAGAUCUCUCUAGCUUCCGGUGAACCGUUAUGAAAACACAAAAGUAAUUAAGUUGCUUUAGCGAGUUCUAGCGUUUGAUAUUUAUAGAAUGAAGCAACCAACUGUAGAUUCAAAAAAUAAAUCUUUACAAAUAUUGCCAACA